AACGUGGGGGAUAACGUAGGGAAACUUACGCUAAUACCGCACGUCAUACGGGAGAAAGCAGGGGACCUUCGGGCCUUGCGCGGUCAGACGGACCGAUGUGAUUAGCUAGUUGGUGAGGUAAUGGCUCACCAAGGCGACGAUCGAUAGCUGGUCUGAGGAUGAUCAGCCACACUGGAACUGAGACACGGUCCAGACUCCUACGGGAGGCAGCAGUGGAAUAUUGGACAAUGGGCGCAAGCCUGAUCCAGCAAUGCCGCGUGUGUGAAGAAGGCCCGGGUUGUAAAGCACUUUUAUCGGGAGCGAAAUACCAUCGGUUAAUACCCGGUGGGGCACGGUACCCGAGGAAUAAGCACCGGCUAACUUCGUGCCAGCAGCCGCGGUAAUACGAAGUGCAAGCGUUAAUCGGAAUUACUGGGCGUAAAGGGUGCGUAGGCGGUUAGUUAAGUCUCGUGAAAUCCCCGGGCUCAACCUGGGAAUGGCGAUGGAUACUGGCUGGCUAGAGUGU
Molecule: ribosomal RNA, 505 nt
Filed under: uncultured bacterium
Lineage: Bacteria
Description: bacterial SSU rRNA
Rfam family: Bacterial small subunit ribosomal RNA
Source: RNAcentral